GACGAACGCUGGCGGCGUGCUUAACACAUGCAAGUCGAACGGUGAAGCGCCUUCCUUUUUGGUGGGUGUGGAUGAGUGGCGAACGGGUGAGUAACACGUGAGUAACCUGCCCCCUUCUUCUGGAUAACCGCAUGAAAGUGUGGCUAAUACGGGAUAUUCUGGGUCUGUCGCAUGAUGGGUCUGGGAAAGAUAUUGUUUCGGUGGGGGAUGGGCUCGCGGCCUAUCAGCUUGUUGGUGGGGUGAUGGCCUACCAAGGCGGUGACGGGUAGCCGGCCUGGGAGGGUGGACGGCCCCACUGGGACUGAGACACGGCCCAGACUGCUACGGGAGGCAGCAGUGGGGAAUAUUGCACAAUGGGGGCAAGCCUGAUGCAGCGACGCCGCGUGAGGGAUGGAGGCCUUCGGGUUGUGAACCUCUUUCGCCAGUGAAGCAGGCCUGCCUCGUUUGUGGGUGGGUUGACGGUAGCUGGAUAAGAAGCGCCGGCUAACUACGUG
This 494-nucleotide ribosomal RNA is filed under the name uncultured bacterium. RNAcentral describes it as "partial 16S ribosomal RNA". It matches the Rfam family "Bacterial small subunit ribosomal RNA", at positions 28 to 507 of the family's 1533-position model. The record is from RNAcentral.